UCCGGUUUAUCCGGAUUAAAGAUUUAUCGCUUGGGAGGGGCCUGCGUCUGAUUAGCUAGUUGGUGAGGUAAAAGCUCACCAAGGCGACGAUCAGUAGCUGGUUCGAGAGGAUGACCAGCCACACUGGGACUGAGAUACGGCCCAGACUCCUACGGGAGGCAGCAGUGAGGAAUCUUCCACAAUGGGCGCAAGCCUGAUGGAGCAAUACCGCGUGCAGGAAGACGCUUUUCGGAGUGUAAACUGCUUUUGUCGUCGAAGAUUAUGACUGUAGACGAAGAAUAAGGACCGGCUAACUACGUG
Molecule: ribosomal RNA, 300 nt
Filed under: uncultured bacterium
Lineage: Bacteria
Description: bacterial SSU rRNA
Rfam family: Bacterial small subunit ribosomal RNA
Source: RNAcentral